CUUCUUGAUUAUUAUAAGAAGUCGUGCCUGCUCACUGAUUAAUUGAAGAGCCGCGGUAAUUUGACCGUGCAAAGGUAGCAUAAUAAUUAGUCUUUUAAUUGAAGGCUGGAAUGAAAGGUUUGACGAAAUAAUAUCUGUCUCUUAUUUAUAAAUUGAAUUUUAUUUUUAAGUUAAAAAGCUUAAAUGAUUAUAAGGGACGAGAAGACCCUAUAGAUCUUAAUAAUUGGUGAUUGUUUAGAAUAUAUAGAUGAAUAAAAUUUUUUUAAUUAUAUAAUUAUUUGAUUGGGGUGAUUAGGAAAUAUACUAACUUUUUUAUUAUAAACUUUGAUAAAAGAAUUUAAGAUCCUUUAUUAUGGAUUGUAAGAUUUAGAUACCUUAGGGAUAACAGCGUUAUUUUAUUUGAAAGUUCUUAUUGACAAUAAAGAUUACGACCUCGAUGUUGGAUUAAGAUUAUAAAUUGGUGCAGAAGUUAAUUUGGUUAGUCUGUUC
This 489-nucleotide ribosomal RNA is filed under the name Oecanthus sp. Com. Its description in RNAcentral is "partial 16S ribosomal RNA". It matches the Rfam family "Archaeal large subunit ribosomal RNA", at positions 1911 to 2651 of the family's 2987-position model. The record is from RNAcentral. Lineage: Eukaryota; Metazoa; Arthropoda; Insecta; Orthoptera; Gryllidae.